This 433-nucleotide ribosomal RNA is filed under the name uncultured bacterium. Its description in RNAcentral is "partial 16S ribosomal RNA". It matches the Rfam family "Bacterial small subunit ribosomal RNA", at positions 29 to 507 of the family's 1533-position model. The record is from RNAcentral.
AAUGAACGCUGGCGGCAUGCCUAACACAUGCAAGUCGAACGAAGGCUUCGGCCUUAGUGGCGCACGGGUGCGUAACGCGUGGGAAUCUGCCCUUGGGUUCGGAAUAACAGUUAGAAAUGACUGCUAAUACCGGAUGAUGUCGUAAGACCAAAGAUUUAUCGCCCAAGGAUGAGCCCGCGUAGGAUUAGCUAGUUGGUGGGGUAAAGGCCUACCAAGGCGACGAUCCUUAGCUGGUCUGAGAGGAUGAUCAGCCACACUGGGACUGAGACACGGCCCAGACUCCUACGGGAGGCAGCAGUGGGGAAUAUUGGACGAUGGGCGCAAGCCUGAUCCAGCAAUGCCGCGUGAGUGAUGAAGGCCUUAGGGUUGUAAAGCUCUUUUACCCGGGAUGAUAAUGACAGUACCGGGAGAAUAAGCUCCGGCUAACUUCGUG